This 253-nucleotide long non-coding RNA is filed under the name Lathyrus oleraceus (garden pea). Its description in RNAcentral is "Pisum sativum (pea) long non-coding RNA (PSAT_LNC039075)". Lineage: Eukaryota; Viridiplantae; Streptophyta; Magnoliopsida; Fabales; Fabaceae. The record is from RNAcentral.
CUCGGUUUUCUUUUUCUUAUUUCUUGGAUUUUUUUACCGACUGCCCUUUUCCGUGCUUUUUCUUUUGAAUCAUCGAUUGUUCGAUUUUUCUUUCUUUUUCUCGAUUCCUUAAUUUUUCUUUUCUUUUGUUUUUGCACUUUCUAGGGCUUUGAGAGCUUUUGGGUUUUUUACCCCAAACUUAGCUUUUUAACAUAGUUGGAAUGUAUUCUCAUGACUCUGAACAGGGUGAGGAAGUGUUUUUGGCCAAUGGUUA